Long non-coding RNA from Megalobrama amblycephala (Wuchang bream), 1036 nucleotides. RefSeq lists it as uncharacterized. NCBI's taxonomy places the organism in Eukaryota, Metazoa, Chordata, Actinopteri, Cypriniformes, Xenocyprididae. The record is from RefSeq and is a predicted model, not a curated record. The transcript is spliced from 3 exons.
CCGGACAUUUGUUAGUGAUGUACCAAUUCGCGAUAUAAACGAAUUACCCUAAAGAAACAAAUAAAAUAUGUGUAUAUUUAUAGUAACUGGCAUUUUUAUGUAUGUGUAUAUUACAUUGUGUCCGAAAGUCUAAAAUGUCUAUACAUGCCGAUUUAUCCACUUUUUAUUGAGGAACACAUAUGCUCUCUUUUGAUUGGUUGCUUUCUCUCGCGUUCUUUCUAGAGCUUGACGUGCAUUAUGGGUAACUCUAUAGGUGACAAUAAUGUAAGUUUAUUUAUAUUGUUUCUACAAUAAAAAGAUAGUAUUCGACGUUAUUUAAGUUAUAUAUGCAACCAGAACUAUAAGAACAAUGUUUAAAAAAUCCACACGAAAGUGGCUGUGAUUGUUGUUUUUCUCAUCGGUGAUAAUGGUUGAGCACAUGUUGUAUGUGGAAAUAUGCGUCUCAUUUAACAGAGAAAUUGUGUCUACUAGUUGUACACCUAUAUUAGCCAACAUUUGUAUUAGUUGCAAAUAUUAGCGUUAGUGAUUAUGAAAAAUACUGAUGUUUUAGAUGUUACUUUCCUAAUCGCAGUUUCAUGUACUGUGCGAGUGACCAACUGAUUAACACCGUCUGUGAGACACCUAGUGCCAGAAGAGACUCGAGCUGGGUUUGAUGUCAUUUUUGUCAUCGCUAUGAGACCCUACCGUCUGUGAGACACCUAGUGCCAGAAGAGACUCGAGCUGGGUUUGAUGUCUUUUUUUUUUUAUCGCUAUGAGACCCUACCGUCUGUGAGACACCUAGUGCCAGAAGAGACUCGAGCUGGGUUUGGUGAGUGAAGGUUAAGACUAUACUUUCAGGGAUCAUUUCUAUAGUUCUUAACUAGGAAAUGUACUAAGAUAGUGAUGAGUCUUCCAAACCACGAUGACGAAUUUUGAUACUUCUUUCUGAGCGUGAAUCGGGUGUAGAGUAAUGAUUCAGUUCAUAUGCUCUGCAUCAUUGAUGACCGUUCCUUACUGUUUAAUAUGGUUAGGAUGAAAGAAGUAUGAUCAGAGUGGU